GACGAACGCUGGCGGCGUGCUUAACACAUGCAAGUCGAACGGAAAGGCCCUGCUUUUGUGGGGUGCUCGAGUGGCGAACGGGUGAGUAACACGUGAGUAACCUGCCCUUGACUUUGGGAUAACUUCAGGAAACUGGGGCUAAUACCGGAUAGGAGCUCCUGCUGCAUGGUGGGGGUUGGAAAGUUUCGGCGGUUGGGGAUGGACUCGCGGCUUAUCAGCUUGUUGGUGGGGUAGUGGCUUACCAAGGCUUUGACGGGUAGCCGGCCCGAGAGGGUGACCGGCCACAUUGGGACUGAGAUACGGCCCAGACUCCUACGGGAGGUAGCAGUGGGGAAUAUUGCACAAUGGGCGGAAGCCUGAUGCAGCAACGCCGCGUGCGGGAUGACGGCCUUCGGGUUGUAAACCGCUUUCGCCUGUGACGAAGCGUGAGUGACGGUAAUGGGUAAAGAAGCACCGGCUAACUACGUG
This 468-nucleotide ribosomal RNA is filed under the name uncultured bacterium. Its description in RNAcentral is "partial 16S ribosomal RNA". It matches the Rfam family "Bacterial small subunit ribosomal RNA", at positions 28 to 507 of the family's 1533-position model. The record is from RNAcentral.